GACGAACGCUGGCGGCGUGCUUAACACAUGCAAGUCGAACGGAAAGGCCCUGCUUUUGUGGGGUGCUCGAGUGGCGAACGGGUGAGUAACACGUGAGUAACCUGCCCUUGACUUUGGGAUAACUUCAGGAAACUGGGGCUAAUACCGGAUAGGAGCUCCUGCUGCAUGGUGGGGGUUGGAAAGUUUCGGCGGGUGGGGAUGGACGCGCGGCUUAUCAGCUUGUUGGUGGGGUAGUUGCUUACCAAGGCUUUGACGGGUAGCCGGCCUGAGAGGGUGACCGGCGACAUUGGGACUGAGAUACGGACCAGACGCCUACGGGAGGCAGCAGUGGGGAAUAUGGCACAGUGGGCGGAAGUCUGAUGCAGCAACGCCGCGUGCGGGAUGACGGCCUUCGGGUUGUAAACCGCUUUCGCCUGUGACGAAGCGUGAGUGACGGUAAUGGGUAAAGAAGCACCGGCUAACUACGUG
RNAcentral lists this ribosomal RNA (468 nucleotides) under uncultured bacterium. Its description in RNAcentral is "partial 16S ribosomal RNA". It matches the Rfam family "Bacterial small subunit ribosomal RNA", at positions 28 to 507 of the family's 1533-position model. The record is from RNAcentral.